ACACGACUACAUUAGAUACCCGUGUAGUCCAGGGUGUAAACGCUGCGGGCUUGGUGUUGGGGGUCCUUUGAGGGCGCCCAGUGCCGGAGAGAAGUUGUUAAGCCUGCUGCUUGGGGAGUACGUCCGCAAGGAUGAAACUUAAAGGAAUUGGCGGGGGAGCACCGCAACGGGAGGAGCGUGCGGUUCAAUUGGAUUCAACGCCGGACAACUCACCAGGAGCGACGGUUACAUGAGGGCCAGGCUGAUGACCUUGCCUGAUUUUCCG
RNAcentral lists this ribosomal RNA (265 nucleotides) under uncultured archaeon. RNAcentral describes it as "partial 16S ribosomal RNA". It matches the Rfam family "Archaeal small subunit ribosomal RNA", at positions 719 to 982 of the family's 1478-position model. The record is from RNAcentral.